Molecule: long non-coding RNA, 7972 nt
Filed under: Triticum aestivum (bread wheat)
Lineage: Eukaryota; Viridiplantae; Streptophyta; Magnoliopsida; Poales; Poaceae
Description: long non-coding RNA (TAES_LNC010418)
Source: RNAcentral
UAUUUUUCCUUUUACUUUUUGUUUAUUUAUUUAGCUAUUGUUUUGUAUUUUCUUUUAGCAUCAAAAUAUUUUUGUAAACUGUUAAACUUUGCCAUAUAAUUACUAUGCAUUAUUGUGCACUGCCACAACAAGUUUGGGGUUCAAAAUAAUUUAUUAAGUUUGAGUUUAUUUUUUAAAUGGGAUAAAAAGGUGUUGUUGGUCCACUGUUUUAAUAUCCAGGGGCAAUUUUAUAUUUUGAAAAAUGUUAAUUAUUUCAUGACAAAUUGUUAGUGAAUAUUUGCAACCCACCAAACAUUUUUGUUUUACCGUUUGAAGAAAUAAUAGUUUGACUUUAUUUUAAAUUUAAUUUGAAUCAGGUUUGGAUCAAAGUGAGGUUUAGCAAAUUACUACAAUGACAUGGCAUCAUUAAGAGGGGAAUAUUGUAGCUUGAUUAUCCGGGCGUCACAAUUCUCCUCCACUACAAGAAAUCUCGUCCCGAGAUUUAGGACCGGAGUAAGGGGGAAAGGGUCUGGUUAGGUAAUUCUAACGAAUCUCCUCGGUCUUGGUUGCUUUUCUCGAAGCGCUCAAUCCAUUACAAUGAUGUCUUCAUUCCACUGCUUCAGGUCAUCAUUAUGAAGUCUUCAUCCUUUCUUCGGGGGUUCCAUCGUUCUUAUGAAUAGGUAACGGGGCAGAUUGGCAACAGCAGAAUGCUAUAAGGGUAAUAAUCUGGGAUUAACCCAUGAAUGAUCAUACGAGUGCCUCUUGAGUUGAACAAUUAAAACACAUCAAGAGGAAACUUUGAAGGUACAAUAAGAAUUUUCAAGCAGAUAGAUAGUUGCUCGAAGUCUGAACCUGAGUGAGAAAGGGGUUCAGAGUAGCAAGAGUAAGUAUUACGUCUGCUACCAGAAUAGAGCACUAGGAAGGUGGCCCAUGAAUUAAAUACGAAGCCAAGCGUGGGGAAUAACCAUUAGAAACAUGCUUGUACAGGAGAGUCAGGUUUCUAUCCUGUGGAACUGUGGGUUAUGGGCCCACCAUACGGGAUAAAGGUAGAAGGAGUGGUGACAUCUUGCACGGUCAUGAUAACAAGGCAUGUCAGAGGGUAGCCCGUCAGUUAUGUCGAAAACGACGUCGAUACCAAGGGCGAGGGACGAAGAGAACCAUUCUCCUGCUCGUUGAACGAGGUGGACCAAUAGGCAAAGUUCUCGUCCAUCGGUGGUUACCGGAAUGUCAUCAGCAAUAGUAACAGGGUCUUACCGUCACGAUUGUACACCUAGGUGUUAACUUAAGAAGAAGAAUAUUACUGCUUAGAUCAUAUAGAUCACCAGAAAGGUUAAACAAAACAAUGGAAAGGAAAAGGUGAUCAUCAGAUUAAAUAGAACAAUGGAAAGGAAAAUGUGUUUAAACACAUUCUUCAGGGGUAUAUCCUUCCCAAGGACAAACAGAGCAUGAUAUCCACGACAGGAUAUAAUGUAGAAAACCCUUUAGGAAAGGGGAGAGAAAUUUCAUGACUUUACCCAUACCGCGGUGUUUGGAUAGUUGAGCAGGAAACAUUUAGCAUUAGGCUUCAAAUGUUCUUUUUGAAAAUCAUAGUAACAUAGACAUGCUUCGAGAUAGCAUUGACAUGGUCAUCAAGUGAAGAUCAGACUUCGGAUACACGAAGGAUCCAUCAGGAUAACUUAUUAAACAAGGCAUUCAAUUUCCUCAUGGAAAAAUGGUUAACCUUGUUAAAAAGGAAACUAUAACACUAGGUCCUCCGGUCAGGUGUGCUAGACAUGACAUCACCUUAUCGGGUCAUUUAAAGACCAAAGUUAUGACCCUUGGACAGAGUUCCAACCAUCAUAUCUGCUCAAUAUUCAGAUAUGAUUGGUGUCGGGAUAUGUCAGACUCAUGAUGCCUGAGAAGAAAAAGGUGCACACAAAUUGAUGAGAUGACAUUAUAUGAUUCUCGGGAAAUGAACUAUGGAAGCGAGUUCCGAACAAGGGUUCAUCAUUAAGCCAAGGAGAGGAUGAGGAGGUGGCUGAUGGACUCAGCGAUAAUUCAACGUGGUAUCCAAAAAGGAUGGAUCUCCACAAUUAUGUGAACAAGGAGAUAACAUUUGUCAAAUCAAAUGGUAUAAUUAGGUAUGCUCGAGGAAAACAUACACGGUUAAUCAUUUAUUGAAAGGUGCACCCGAAAUAUGGGCUUAGGUAGCAUGAUCUCAAGGUAUAACACAAAAACGAACAAGUUUGUGUUGAACAGAAGAUAAUAAAGUGGUUGAUGAUAACACGAAUCAUCAAGGGGCAAGGAUGGUAUUGCCCAUCAAGAAUUCGAUAUAUAUCUUGGAAGAGCUUAGGAUGUUGAUGAUGAUCACGACACAGUUGUCGAGAGAUUUCAUGAAGAUGUAAUCGGUCGGCGAUGCCAUCAAGUCAAAUGAUGAUGAAGCGAAAAUUUAUGGGAGCCAAGGGUACGACACAAACUCUAAAUCAAGCUUGUUGUUCAAGACGAAAUGAUAUGACGAGAAAGAUCGACGUAAGCUUAGCUCAUCGUCGAAAGUUGUGCUCCGGGAUUAAGGACCAGGUGGCAUAGUUAAAAUUGGCACGAGAAUGAUUUAGCCGAGAAGGCUAGGAAUGACGUGAUCGAGUUCAAACUCAUAAGUAAUGAAGGUUACCAAGAGAUGUUUAAUCACGGUGCGGACUCGAUUUAGUUAUCGAUGUCUUUGAGUGUUUAAUAACUUAGAGCCCGUGAAAAAUUAGAAUCAGUGAGAAUGUAGUACUUGAAGAAGAACUCAUAAGAAGUUAUGCAGUUCCGUGAUAAUCUCGAGAUACCAGGGUGUAAUACUCGAUGAUAGAUCAAAGUACAUGUUGGACUGGUGUAUUGAUCCACAGAAGACAAAUGCUUAAACUUGCCCGAGAAAAGGAUCAAAGAUGAUCAAUCAUGGUCGGAACCAUGGUUGCAAAGGACCAACAUAGAUACAAGAUGAACUUAUAACAAGGGGACCAUUAUUAAUACAAGAAGCUUCCAUGAUAAGUUCCACAUCAGGUCCAUGGGCAUGAACACAAAGUUCAAGGUCGACUCCCACUUCUCCAAAGCACAACCUUACAUUCACUUCUCGUUUCAAUUAUGGCAUUAGUGUUGAAAGUUUUACCUGGUGAAAUACCAGGUGAGUAUGGCCCGUGAAAUCUUUCGAGCUCACAUAGAUUAGGUAAGGCAUUGGUUCAACCCAUCGGGGCAUCUUAGAAACAUAUACCACAAGCUUCAAUAGUAAAUAUCACCAGCUCGAAAGUAGAGCACGGUUGAGAAAGUAGAGGAUACAAUUUACCAAAGGCAUUAUGUAUCCGAGAGAAGGCUCACAAGGUUAUUGAAUAUGAAGGACGCUGUCAGAUAAAAUCCAUUAAAGGAUCUGCCGGUCCAUUGCGGAGCUGAUGUGAGCAUCGGCACACAACCAGAGGAAGUAACAAUGCAAAGGCAUUGGAUUAUUGAAACAACCGACUAAUUCAAAGCUCAAAUGCAAAUGAAUUAUGAUUUCCAAAUCAAAGGAUCAGAAGCAAACGCUCUGAUUAAGAAUGGAUAAGUUGAGUAAGCUUAGGGGUAAAAUCGACAACAAUUUGAUUGGUCGAGAUCUAGCUCAUGCUUAAUAUGAUGUCUGGGCCGAAAGGAUGAAUUCUAGGAUCUGAUUGAGGAUUGCGAGCAUUCGCAACAUAUUGAAUCAAUGGACUCAAAAUGAUAGUGACAAGGGCUGCCAAUAAGAUUACUAUACCUAUGGGAUUAACCAUAAUGAAAGCAAGCAAGAAUUUCAAGAAUAAUAGGCAGGCGAUGAUUUUCGGAAGAUCGAAUGGUACUUCGAAGACUUUUGUGAAAUAUUUGAAUCAAAUGGGGAUGAGCGAAUACCCGAUAAGUGUGAGAAAUUAUCCAUAGGGGUAUUCAGGGGGCAAAGAACUGCAAGGCAGUAGACACAAAGUUUUCUCAGAGUAACAGAGAGAAUAUUGGGGUAUCUUGUAAUAACAAGAUCAACUGGAAUAAAAGUAGGAACGACGGGUGUAAGUAUUUGCCCAUAGGGAUAUUUCAGUGGUAGGGAAUUGCAAAAGCAACGGGCACAAGGUCUCGAGAGAAUAUCGGAAGGCAUCUUCGGAAUCCUUCGGUGCAGCAGGCGGUCAUUGGUAACACGGGGCUCUCCGGGUGGAAGUGAUCACGCGAUCCUAAUGUUAGAGUUAGCAAAAUUCAUUUAACCCGAAUAGAAGAGAGAUCAGAGUCCCAGAGUAUAGAUGAGGAGUAAAAGAUCCUAAUAACACCCAAUGGUAAUGUGGGCCCGUAAGCCGCACAACCAUGUUAGUAAAAGUUUUCCAAUGACUAGACUCGACUUCAGCCAAGGAGUUGUAAAGGGGGAUUCCUACAGGCAGUCGGCUCUGAUACCAACUUGUGACGCCCCCGAUUCAACGUACACUAAUCAUACACGCAAACGUGUACAAUCAAGAUCAAGGACUCACGGGAAGAUAUCACAAUACAACUCUACAAAUAAAAUAAGUCAUACAAGCAUCAUAUUACAAGCCAGGGGCCUCGAGGGCUCGAAUACAAGAGCUCGAUCAUAGACGAGUCAGCGGAAGCAACAAUAUCUGAGUACAGACAUAAGUUAAACAAGUUUGCCUUAAGAAGGCUAGCACAAACUGGGAUACAGAUUGAAAGAGGCGCAAGCCUCCUGCCUGGGAUCCUCCUAAACUACUCCUGGUCGUCGUCAGCGAGCUGCACGUAGUAGUAGGCACCUCUCGAGUAGUAGUAGUCGUCGUCGACAGUGGCGUCUGGCUCCUGGGCUCCAACGUCUGGUCGCAGCAAUCGAGUAUAGAAAGGGGAAAGGGGGGGAGCAAAGCAACCGUGAGUACUCAUCCAAAGUACUCUCAAGCAAGGAGCUACACUAUAUAUGUAUGCAUUGGUAUCCAAUGGAAAAGGCUAUCAUAUGUGGACUAAACUGCAGAAUGCCGGAAUAAUAGGGGGAUAGCUAGUCCUAUCGAAGACUACGCUUCUGGUAACCUCCAUCUUACAGCAGGAGAAGAGAGUAGAUGCUAAGUUCACCAAGUAUCAUCGCAUAGCAUAAUCCUAACUGAUGAUCCUCCCCUCGUUGCACUGUGAGAGAGCGUUCACCGGUUGUAUCUGGCACUUGGAAGGGUGUGUUUUAUUAAUUAUCCGGUUCUAGUUGUCAUAAGGUCAAGGUACAACUCCGGGUCAUCCUUUUACCGAGGGACAUGGCUAUUCGAAUAGAUCAACUUCCCUGCAGGGGUGCACCACAUUUCGCAACACGCUCGAUCCCCUUUGUCCAGACACACUUUUCUGGGUCAUGCCCGGCCUCGGAAGAUCAACACGUCGCAGCCCUACCUAGGCACAACAGAGAGGUCAGCAUGCUGGUCUAAAUCCUAUGGCGCAGGGGUUUGGGCCCAUCGCCCUUUGCACACCUGCAUGUUGCGAACGCGGCCGGUGAGCAGACCUAGCCUCCCUUAUACAAGAGUAGGCAUUCCAAUCCAACCCGGCGCGCGCCGCUCAGUCGCUGACGUCACGAAGGCUUCGGCUGAUACCACGACGUCGAGUGCCCAUAACUGUCCCCGCGUAGGUGGUUAGUGCGUAUAGGCUAGUGGCCUGACUCAGAUCAAAUACCAAGAUCUCGUUAAGCGGGUUAUGUAUCCGCGAACGCCGACCAGGGCCAGGCCCACCUCUCUCCUAGGUGGUCUCAACCUGCCCUGUCGUUGUGCCACAAAGUAACAGUCGGGGGCCGUCGGGAACCCAGGCCCACCUCUACCGGGAUGGAGCCAUCUGCCCCUUCAGCCCCCAUCUCCGAAUAGUAUCAUAAGUAAUGUAACAGUAUCAGUAUAUAACAUAUGCCCGAGAUCACCUCCUGAAGUGAUCACGGCCCAGUAGUAUAGCAUGGCGGACGGACAAGAAUGUAGGGCCACUGAUGGUAAACUAGCAUCCUAUACUAAGCAUUUAGGAUUGCAGGUAAGGUAUCAACAGUUGUAGAACAAUGACAGGCUAUGCAACAGAAUAGGAUUAACGGAAAGCAGUAACAUGCUACACUACUCUAAUGCAAGCAGUAGAGAGAAGAGUAGGAGAUAUCUGGUGAUCAAAGGGGGGGGGGGCUUGCCUGGUUGCUCUGGCAAGAGAGAGGGGUCGUCAACACCGUAGUCGUACUGGGUAGCAACGGCGUCGAUCUCGGUGUCUAGCGAGAGAAGAGGGGGAAGAAACAAUAAAUAUUAAGCAAACAGAUGCAUAGCGAUGCAUGACAUGACAAGUAUCGGUGCUAGGGGUGCCCUAACGCAGUAUGAGGUGGUACCGGUGACGGGGGAAAACAUCCGGGAAAGUAUUCCUGGUGUUUCGCGUUUUCGGACAAAUGAACCGGAAGGGGAAAGUUGUGUGUUUGCCAUGCUAGGGAUGUGUGGCGGACUAACAAGUUGCGUAACCGGAUUCGUCUCGUCGUUCUGAGCAACAUUCAUGUACAAAGUUUUUCCAUUCGAGCUACGGUUUAUUUUAUAUUGAUUUUUAAAGUUUUAAAUCAUUUUCUAGAAUUAACAGAAUUAAUUUAGUACUAAAAUACAUUUCUGAGGUCAGCAUGACGUCAGCACGACGUCAUCAGUUGACUGGGUCAAACUGACGCGUGGGUCCUACUAUCAUUGACUAAGUCUAAUUAAACAGGUUAAUUAGUUUAAUUAGUUGUUCGGUUUAAUUAAUCAAAAUUAAUGAAGUUAAAUAUUUUUAUUCUUUUUUUAUGGAAACGUUCUAGGGUGUGGGCCCCUCGUGUCAUAGAGUCAGGGCCUUAACGGGCGCGGGCGCUGGGCUAACCGGGUCUUCGCCCUGGUCGUGCAGGCGCGUGCGCUGGGUGCCUUAGCGCACGGACAGGGGGAAGGGGACGGCGUGUGGUCCAGCACCGACGACCGUGGCGGGUGUAGGGUGGCCCGACGAGGCCGGCCAGAGCUGAGGGGGCGCGAUGGCAGGUGCACGGGGCGCCAGAGGCCCGGCCAGAGGCAGCGAUGCGUGCGAGGGCUAGCGGCGAGCAGCGCAGCGACGGGCGAAGCUGGGCCGCGCGGGUGGGGCGCCGCGGCCGAGCAGGAAGUUGCGUCACGCAGGGCGCGGUCGGGCAGCCGUGUACGGCGAGACGACGGCGGGGGAACGGCUCGGGCGCGCGGUGACAGGGGAAGAGGGGAGGGGAGGAGGGCGCGUGCUCACACAGGUGUUGCAGGGGUUCGGGCAACGGGGGGACGAGGAGGUGGACGGGGACGACCGGCGAGGAAGGCGGAGACGGGGAGGCAGCUCCGGUGNNNNNNNNNNNNNNNNNNNNNNNNNNNNNNNNNNNNNNNNNNNNNNNNNNNNNNNNNNNNNNNNNNNNNNNNNNNNNNNNNNNNNNNNNNNNNNNNNNNNNNNNNNNNNNNNNNNNNNNNNNNNNNNNNNNNNNNNNNNNNNNNNNNNNNNNNNNNNNNNNNNNNNNNNNNNNNNNNNNNNNNNNNNNNNNNNNNNNNNNNNNNNNNNNNNNNNNNNNNNNNNNNNNNNNNNNNNNNNNNNNNNNNNNNNNNNNNNNNNNNGGGGAGUGGGGGGAGUGUGUGGGGAGUGGGAUGGGCGAGUGGGGGUAGGGUUUCGGGGAUGGGGAGAUAAGGGAAGUGGGGGUGUCGGUUGGGCCUUUUGGCCAGUUGGGCCUUUUUUGCUAAAUGGGCCAAGGGGCCCGGUAGAUUAGGUUUCUUUUCUGUUUACUUGUAUUUUUCCUUUUACUUUUUGUUUAUUUAUUUAGCUAUUGUUUUGUAUUUUCUUUUAGCAUCAAAAUAUUUUUGUAAACUGUUAAACCUUGCCAUAUAAUUACUAUGCAUUAUUGUGCACUGCCACAACAAGUUUGGGAUUCAAAAUAAUUUAUUAAGUUUGAGUUUAUUUUUUAAAUGGGAUAAAAAGGUGUUGUUGGUCCACUGUUUUAAUAUCCAGGGGCAAUUUUAUAUUUUGAAAUUUUUUAAUUAUUUCAUGACAAAUUGUUAGUGAAUAUUUGCAACCCACC